AGUGAACGCUGGCGGUAGGCCUAACACAUGCAAGUCGAACGGCAGCACAGUAAGAGCUUGCUCUUACGGGUGGCGAGUGGCGGACGGGUGAGGAAUACAUCGGAAUCUACUUUUUCGUGGGGGAUAACGUAGGGAAACUUACGCUAGUACCGCAUACGACCUACGGGUGAAAGCAGGGGAUCUUCGGACCUUGCGCGAUUGAAUGAGCCGAUGUCGGAUUAGCUAGUUGGCGGGGUAAAGGCCCACCAAGGCGACGAUCCGUAGCUGGUCUGAGAGGAUGCACCGCCACACUGGAACUGAGACACGUUCCAGCCCCCGACGGGAGGCACCAUUGGGGAAUUUUGGACAAUGGCCGCAGCCUUGAUCCACCCAUGCCGGGGGGUUGAAGACGCCUUUCGGUUUGUAAACCCUUUUUUUGGGGAAAAAAAAGCAGCUGGUUACUCCCCCGCUUUUCGGACGUUCCCCAAAAAAUAAGCACCGGCUAACUUCGUC
RNAcentral lists this ribosomal RNA (492 nucleotides) under uncultured bacterium. RNAcentral's name for it is "partial 16S ribosomal RNA". It matches the Rfam family "Bacterial small subunit ribosomal RNA", at positions 29 to 507 of the family's 1533-position model. The record is from RNAcentral.